RNAcentral lists this transfer RNA (73 nucleotides) under Ruminococcus sp. RNAcentral describes it as "tRNA-Asp". It matches the Rfam family "tRNA". From Rfam's summary of the family: Transfer RNA (tRNA) molecules are approximately 80 nucleotides in length. Their secondary structure includes four short double-helical elements and three loops (D, anti-codon, and T loops). Lineage: Bacteria; Bacillati; Bacillota; Clostridia; Eubacteriales; Oscillospiraceae. The record is from RNAcentral.
GUCUGCAUAGUUCAACGCAAGAACGGUCUGCCUAUCAAGCAGAACGACGACGGUUCGACUCCGUCAGCAGACU